RNAcentral lists this ribosomal RNA (495 nucleotides) under uncultured bacterium. Its description in RNAcentral is "partial 16S ribosomal RNA". It matches the Rfam family "Bacterial small subunit ribosomal RNA", at positions 29 to 507 of the family's 1533-position model. The record is from RNAcentral.
AUGAACGCUGGCGGCGUGCCUAAUACAUGCAAGUCGCGCGAACAGACGAGGAGCUUGCUCCUUUGACGUUAGCGGCGGACGGGUGAGUAACACGUAGGUACCUACCUAUAAGACUGGGAUAACUUCGGGAAACCGGAGCUAAUACCGGAUAAUAUUUCGAACCGCAUGGUUCGAUAGUGAAAGAUGGCUUUGCUAUCACUUAUAGAUGGACCUGCGCCGUAUUAGCUAGUUGGUAAGGUAACGGCUUACCAAGGCAACGAUACGUAGCCGACCUGAGAGGGUGAUCGGCCACACUGGAACUGAGACACGGUCCAGACUCCUACGGGAGGCAGCAGUAGGGAAUCUUCCGCAAUGGGCGAAAGCCUGACGGAGCAACGCCGCGUGAGUGAUGAAGGUCUUCGGAUCGUAAAACUCUGUUAUUAGGGAAGAACAAACGUGUAAGUAACUGUGCACGUCUUGACGGUACCUAAUCAGAAAGCCACGGCUAACUACGUG